RNAcentral lists this long non-coding RNA (11351 nucleotides) under Lynx pardinus (Iberian lynx). Lineage: Eukaryota; Metazoa; Chordata; Mammalia; Carnivora; Felidae. The record is from RNAcentral.
UCUAUGUGUUCUUUCUUUUCUUUUUUUUAAUGUUAUUUAUUUAUUUUGAGAGAGAGACGGAAAGAGAGCGUGAGGGCUGGGGAGGGGCAGAGAGAGAGAGAGGAAGCAUAAGAAUCCCAAGCAGGCUCUGCACUGUCAGCAAGGAACCUGACUCAAGGCUUGAUCUCAUGAACCAUGAGAUCAUGACCUGAGACGAAAUCAAGAGUCAGAUGCCUAACCAAUUGAGCCACCAGAGCACCCUGUGUUAUUUCUCUAACAAGAAUUUAAGGUUAUCUAGGGAAGAAACCAUUCUACAUAUUUCUUUUCAGUCCCUUAUCUCCUAACACUGUCUGAGCCAAUCAUGUGUGGGUGUUCCAUAAAUAUUUGAUGAAUUGGAUAGUAGGAAGCUAUGAAAAAAAUGGAAAAUAGAAAUCUAUAGUGUAUGGUAAAGCUCAACCAGGCCUAUGUUUCUAAUCUUCUUCCCACUAAAUCUUUGAAGAGAGCCUCAUUGAAGUUAUAAACCUAACUUUUAUCUCCUUUUUUCUUCUUGUAGAAUUGGAUGUGCCAAUCACAAUGACCAAAGGCAAAAGCCUGUGAUAGAAAAAGAGAAAAUUUUCGCUAUUAUAUCAGUGAACUUAUUCUCAUUAAUUUGUAUCUUUGUGCUAAUUUUGCUUUUUAUGGAGAAAAUACACACAGUCUGGAAAAUACUACAGAAGCCAAAGAGAUAUUCAGCAAUACUUCAUAUUAAAGAAAUAUUGUCGUAUAGAUUAAAGCAAAAAGUCAGACAUCUCUGUCUUAGUCAGCAGUAUACAUUUGAGAAACACACCCUCUCAUAUUUCCCUCUGUCCCAGUUACAGAUUUUCAAAAAACAAAAUAAAACAAACUGUGUUGGUACAGAGAAUAAAUUAGUCAAUUACUGUUUCCUUUCACAUCUCCUACAUAAGGAAACUUAGUCUCUCCCAAUAAUUUGAUGAACUUUCUAAAGUUUGAUGAUCAGAAUUAUGAAACAACUGGUUGUUUCCUUUUCUUUCUUUUGGUAGACAGGGAUGUUCUCAUUCCACUGUAGGAUUUUCUUGAGCUUAGGUUUUCUGUUAUGAUAUUUUUAUUUUUCUCCCUUUCAUUUAACCAAUUCAGUUUUUCUAGUGAGUUUUUUAAAACAUAUAUUUUUAAAUGUUUAUUUAUUUGUUUUAAGAGAGAGAGAGCAUGUGAGCAUGAGUGGGGGAGGGACAGAGAGAGAGAGAGAGAGAGAGAAUCCCUAUUAGGCUCACGCUGUCAGCUCAGAGCAGGAUGUGGGGCCUGAUCUGAUGAACUGAGAUCAUGACCUGAGCGAAAAUCAAGAGUCAGAUGCUUAACUGACAGAGCCACCCAGGGGCCCCUAAAGCAUAUUGUAAAUGUCACUAUUUCUUUGAUUUUCAAUUUCACAAAACUUUUUUCCGGAAGUAGGUAGAGCAAAGUGUUCAAUUUUUUAUAAAGAUCUUGACCUAUGAUGACAAGCAGAUACCCCACUCUAGACAAUCAUAAAUGCAAUCGAAGUGGUUUUUUUCACAAACAUACUUCUCCUCUUCUCUGCUCUAGACCAUAUACUCAACAUGGCUAGCCCCUACAAAAGUGUAAUUUCAGUGAAGUCUCAUAGUUACUCUGGCCUUCAGAAAGAGAGACACAAAGAACCCCCUUAUUUCUCUGCAGCAUCAUGGGGGCAAAUCUCAUCAAGUCAGUGACUCAAAUUCAAACAAAUAAAAAUGUUAAUGCAACGCCAGUAAGGGGAAUAGAUUUUUAUUUCAGAGAUGAGAUGAAGGAUAGUGAAUCAAGAGGCUUAACUGGGCAAGAGAGCAGGAUACCUAUGUCGGGUCUCUUGAUGUGAAAUCCCUGAAGAGAGGAAUUCAGAAUCAAGGUAGGGGAAAACUGCUAGAAUCUGCACAACUCAAAAACAAUACCCAUUCUGCCCUGCUGAAUAAAUCCAAGAGAAACAUAAACUUUAUCUCCGUGGGCAUAAACAUCACACUAUUUUCAUCAACAUUUUGUCUGCACCUUUCUGAAUCCUUCUGCCUGAUGUAAAUCCACUCAAAUAUGGAUAAAUCUAUUUCAGAGAAAGAAAUACCAUAUUGGGUCUGUUUAGAGUUGGAAAAAUCUAUAUUGAAAUAAACAUUUUGAUAAAUAUUAUUAUGCUGCUAUAGCAGUACUUUAUACAGUAUAAUGGAAUGUAAAUGGUUUCUGGACAGUAAAUUUUCUUGAUAACACAAAUUAUCCUUAUUCAUUACAGCUUUAUAUUUUAGCCAUUUGGGAUAGAAGUCAUUCUAAAGUGUAUUAUAUACUGGUUUACCUUUCUAAAUAGAGCAUAAUGAUCAUUACAUACUCAUUUUAUUAAUGACCUAAAGUCAUGAGAAUGAAGAACAAUUAUUAUUUGGUGAUAUAAUAUAGAGGUAUUAUUUAUAGUCUGAAGUGGGUGCAUCCUUCUCAGUGACUCGUUAGCGUAGUACAGUGGGGAAUCCAUAUUUUUAUGGCACGAGACGAGAGAAUACCAUUCAGUAAAUAAGAAGUUGAAAGGUUCAAUGGUUAAAGCCUGGAGUUAAUAUUGAGGGGCAGACUUAUAGAUAUACUUGCCUCAUGAGACCAAAACUCAAUAUUACUCUGUUGUUUCAACGUGCCUCUGAGGUAGCUUCACAUUUUCCUUAAAAUUAAAGUAAAUGGUUGGAAGUGGGCAAAACUGAUACAAGAAUAACAUCUCCAAAAAGAGACGGCUCAAGGUUUUCUGUUAUUUUUUAUUAUGCCCAAAUGCUGCAUUCAGUGAAAAUAUUCUGCCCUUCUCAGAGUUGCAAUCUGUUUUCAGUUAUUCCUCAAAGGCCCUUGGAUCACUCAUCAGGAUCACUGAAAUUGUUUUGAAAUGACAGUUGCAGGGAUACUUUAUAUCUUGUUUAGCUCUGAUGUAGUUUGGGUGAUGAACAGUAUCAUUGUGGGUAACAAAUGCCUCUUUUGAAGAAAAAGACAUUGCUUUGCUGUCCAUAUCCCUUAACUUGAUUGUGGACUAAUUCCUCUUCUCUCAGUAGAGCAAAAAUGCUUAAAUAGUGGUAUAUAGUGAGUCUUCUUAUGGUGGUGUCUCAACAGAUUUGCUGCACGAUUCAAACUAUAUUUUUUAAGGUUAUGUAUUUAUUUUUGUGAGAAAGAGAGAGAGAGAGAGAGAGAAUCCCAAGCCUGCUCAGUGCUGUCAAUGCAGAGCCACGCACAGGGCUAGAACCCAUGAACGGUCAUGACCUGAGCUGAAAUCAAGCGUUGGAUGCUUAACCGAUGGAGCCAACCAAAAGCCCCAGGAUUCAGACUAUUUCUGAUUUUAAUUUUCCAGAAAGUUUUUCUGACCUAGUAUAUUUAUCCAGCUGUGAAUAAUGUAGCAUUCAUGAUCUCACCACACUCAUUCAUAAAUGAAGGAGCACUGUAUCCUUUCCAGCUUGCACUCUCCUUUUCUGCUUUACGCCGCUGACCUGAUUUACAAUGUCAAGACAUUUCUAGACAGCAAAACUGCUCUCUUUGUACUUAAUGUGAGAUAAUCUUUGUAUUUAAUGGGAAAACGAGCGCAAGUAAGCAUUUGAUCAAAGACAACUGUCACCUGACAAAUAGUAGCUCUUAGCUCUUCAUCCCACGCUGACUUGGUCUUUGCUAAAUAUAUGGAAUCAUGCGCAUUUCUCAUUCCCCAAAGACGCCUCUUUUCUAACAGCAUUAAAAAGUGGCCUUGCAGAGGAAUGUUCUGUGUGCUAACUAGUAAUAGCUCUUUCUCUGAACCCCAAGCCCUCUUAACUGAGAGAUAGAUAAAACCCUAUCAUCUACUUCAUUUUCUCUAAUUCUUUUUUCCCUUUGCUUCUAAGGAAAAAAAAAAUUAGAAAAUAGUUGACAGCAUAUUAAGGACACAAGGCAGAGAAAAAUGUAAGUUCCUGAAAUGUUUAAGGGAGAUGGAAAUCAUCUACUUUUGGGAACUGCCUCACGGAAUUGAGCUGGUGCAUUAGUUAUCCAAAUUACCUCCUGCUUUUAUCGCACAGACAAUAUAGAGCUGAAUUGUUAAAUGAUGUGCACUUUUUUUUUUCCAAGAGCAAGAUUGGACACUUAAUCAGGUCAAUAAUUAUUCACGCAUUAGCACAGUCUUCUUCUUAAAGUGUAACGGUGACUCACUGGGUAUAUAGUCAUUAUUACUGAUUAGCAGGAAAUUAUUUUUGCGCAUCAGUGGUUCAUGUGAAAACAGCUAAAUUUAUUAUGCUGAGUUAUUUAACAGUUGGACCAUGUGAGAACUCUGGUGUUACUGUUGUGAUUAAAUCUUUAUACAUACAUCAGUAGAUAACUAUGGAAAAACUAUACAGCAAGAUACGGUUACACUGGAAUUUUACAGCUAACAGUUCCAACUUUUUGAAGUUUGUGCUCACCUUAGACAUUCAUAAAGCACUUCCACAAUGGAGUUCCCUUAUAGGUAAGUUUAUCUGAUAAAGAAAGAAGUGGGGAACAGAAAAGUAAAUAAUAUGAUAAAAGAGUAGAGGACAAAAUAUAAACCUAGAGAGUAAAUGCAAAAAAAAAAAAAAGAAAAGAAAAGAAAAGAAAAAGUGAAUAAAAAAGGCAGGAACAAUGGAAUAAGAGAGACAAAAUUUUACUUAGUUUGAAUUGUUAAUUGAAUGAGAUAUAAUGCAUCAAAAAUUCUCUUUGGUUUAUACCAUUGAUUUUUAAUAUACUGAAUGAAAAACAAUCCUACAUUUCUUUUUAAAAAUGUUCUUUUUAAUGUUUAUUUGUUUUUGAGGGAGAAGGAGAGAAAGAGAGAGAGAGAGCGCAGGAGCAGAGAGGGGCUCUGUCAGCGCAGAACUCAUAAGGACUCAUAAGAACUCAUAAGUUCAAAGCAGGGCUUGAACUCAUAAACCACAGGAUCAUGACCUGAGCCAAAGUCAGACUCUUAACUGAGCCACCCAGGUGCCCCCUAAAUUUCAUUUCAAUCAUUUCUUCAUAGGAUAUAUUUUGAGAAGAAAAUUUACAAAACAUUACCAGCAUUUGUCCCCUUUGGGGAUGGGUAAAUGCAUCUUACAAAUGGUAUGUUAACUUGAUCUUGUUCUUGACUGUGACCUUGCUGCAUCACUACCUACUCUUAUAACUCAAAAUAGCACUGUUUUGAAAAAAAAAAUUAGAUAUUAUAUAUUUUUAUCUGUAAACACAUAAGCAUAUAUUGCUAAAAAAGUAAAGAUUCCCUUUUAAACAUACCACAAUAUUAUCAUAUCGAAAAAAAGAUGAGAAAUACCCUAUUAGUAUUACCUAGUCUGUGUUCAAAUUUUCCCAAUUGUAUAAAAGCUUGGUUACAACUUUUUGUUUAAAUCAGUAUCCAAAUAAAGUGAAUGCAUUGCAUAUAUUUUGAUAUGUCUUCUUAGUAUCUUCUAAUCUGUAGUUUACCUCUCCUACUAAUUUUUGUUCUUGCAAUUUGUUUGUUGAAAACCAGGUUUUAUAUAUCUUUAUCUGAUUCAGACUUGUUGCUUUGGGUAAAAACACUGAUGUGGUGUUGUAUCUUUCAUCUGGAGACACAAAAUGUUUGGUUUCCCUCUGUCUUGAGAUUAGCAGUCAAGUAUUUUGUUAAAUUGAGUAUUUGUUUCUUUUAUGAGAGAGACAGGCUAAAUGCUUGGUUGUUUCCCUUUAUUUACCACUUUCUAAGUAAUGAAGUAGUUAUCUACCAUCAUCCAAAGUGACUAUUUUAUUUUAAAUAUCAUUUUGAACUUGUGGAUUUUUUGAAUUUAUUUUAUUAAAGUUUACUUAUUGGGUGGGGGGAGGGCCAGAGGGAGAAGGAGACAGAAAGUCUCAAGUAGGUUCCUCAUUGUCAGCACCAAACCCCAUGAGGGGCUCUAGAUCAUGACCUGAGCUGAAAUCAAGAGUCGGAUGCUUAUUAACCCACUGAGCCACCCAAGAGCCCCUGAACUGUGAAUUUUUAACCUGUUUGAUUAUCAUCAAUCCACUGAAGUUUUCAUCUUUGUUGAUACACACAUUGUCCAUCUUUGUCUCAGAUCAUAUCAAGUUUGCCCCUCCAUCCAUUGGAUAUAACCCCGUUUUUGGGGAAUCAUCCCCAAAAUAAUCUUAUCAAAGUUGUCUUUGAUAGGUUCUUAGCUAUCAGGUAUGACCUGAUGACCAGGAUCAUCUUUAACAUGUCCUUUGCCAAACCUGGAACUAACCAUUGCUUCAAAUCACAAAAAGGUAUUUUGUGAUUGACAAAAAAAAAAAAAAAAAGAAAAGAAAAAAAAAAAGAAAAACAGAAAGAAAAGAAGGAAAGCAAGCUAGGGUUUUUUCUGUUUGCUUAUUGGUUUUAACCAGUGGUUGCUUGUUGUUUCUAGGCCUUUCUCUGUUUUUAGUUGACAAGCUUAUGAAUAUCAUUUUUUUUUCAGUUUACUUAUUUUGAGAGAGAGAGAGAGACUGGGGGAGGGGCAGAGAGAGAGGGAGGGAGAGAAUCCCAAGCAGGUUCUGUACUGUUAGUGCAGAGCCCAAUGAGGGGCUUGAACUGGUGAGAUCAUGACCUGAGCUGAAGAGUCAGAUGCUUAACUGACUGAGCCACCCAGGUGCCCCAAAUAUCAUUUUUUAAAAGAAAGUAAAUCAUGAGUUUAUAAUAAGAUUUCAUUAUGGAGUUCUAAUUAACUGCAUUGAUUUCUUAAUUUUGUAUUUCCUUUUUAUGUAUUUAACAUUUAUAAAUAGUUGCUUUAACCAUUUAUAUAUAUAAGUGUUUGUUUGCUUGUUUUAUCUGCAGCUCUUUUUGCUAAAAAAGUAAAGAUUCCCUUUUAAAAGAUUACUCUUUUAAGGUAAUUCCACUCAGGAAGGGCAGGUAGAUCUCUGUUUUUCAUUAAUUGAAAUUAUUUUUCUUUGUUAGGUAAGUCAGAAACUAAGUAAAUAUAUGGUAAGUUUGGUUUUACUUCUGAAUUUUGAGGAUUGCAGUUUUUUUUAUUUUAAUAUCUUUUUACCUUAUAAUUAUAUAAUAUUUAAUGGGUUCAAAAUACAUCUACAAAGCAAGUAUAUUCAAGGUAAGUCUAACUUCUAUCAUGGGUUCCCCAACCAUGUUCCUCUCUCCUUCAUAGACAAAGAUUUUACUAAUUGUAUGAUUUAUCCUCUCAUUCUCUUUUGAAACUAAACAAAUAUAUAUUCAUAUGACUUGUUAGAUACAUGUUAGCAUGACUUUUUUUUCCACUUAACAUUAAAUCCUGGAGAUUAUAACUGCCUAUAGCAUUCUCUCUCUCUCUUUUUUUAACAGUUGCAUUAUAUUCCAUUAUGUGGAUUUACUAUCAUUUAUUCAGCUAGUUCCCUAUUAAUUACCAUGUGUUUGCUCCCAAUCUUUAGUUGUUACAAAUUGUGCUUUAAUAAAUAGCUUUGUGCAUAAUUUUGCCCAUAUUUUUGCCAUUAUAUUUUUCUUAAAUGUUUAUUUAUUUAUUGAGAGAGACAGAAAGAGAGAGAGAGGCAGAGCAGGGGGAGGGAUAGAGAGAGAAGAGAGAGAAUCCCAAUCAGGCUCCACACUCAGCACAGAGCCUGACAUGGGGCUCCAUCUCACAAACUGUGAGAUUAUGACGUGAACUUAAAUCAAGAGCCAGACACUCAACUGGCUGAGCCACCCAGACACCCCUGCCAUUGUAUUUUUGGGAUAGAUUCUUAGAAGUGAGAUUUCUGGGUCAAAGAAUAAAUGCAUAUUCAACUUGGCUGUAUAGUGGCAAAUUCUUUUCCACUAUUCUGCAUUUUCACCUAUAAUGUAUGGAAAUGCUCUUUUCUCCACAGCUUCACCAACAGAGUAUAUUCUUGACCUUUUGGAAUUUUACUACACUGAUAAACAAAAUGAUGGUAUCCCCAUAUAGUUUGAUUUGGAUUUAUCUUAUUAUGACAUUAGUUUUUCAUGUUUAAUGGGUUUUCUGUUUACUUUUCAGUGAGCUAUACGAUCAUAUCGUCAAGCUAUUUUUUUUUUGUUUUUAUUUAUUUAUUUAUUUUUUUUUAUGAAAUUUAUGGACAAAUUGGUUUCCAUACAACACCCAGUGCUUUGCGCAGUGGCAGUAUCGUCAAGCUAUUUUUAUGGAAAGUUGUUGGCUUUUUGUUUUCUCUCUUUAAAAAAAAACCUUUUUCAUGUAUUAAGAGUUAUGGCUGGUUGCAACGGUUGUGUCCAUUUCUAAAUGGACACAUUUCUCUCCUUCUCUAAGUUAGCAUCCAUUUCCCCACUUGGUUUGUAUGAAGGUUAGGCUUGGGACCUGUUUUGGUCAAUAGAAUGCAGCAGAAGUGACCUUGUACCAGUUCCAAGUUGAGGCCUCGAAAGAUUUUGCGUGCUUCUCUCAGUUUCUUUGAAUCCUACUUAGCUACCAUGUGGACCAGUCUUGAAGACCUUGUUGGAGAAUGAAAGUCCAUAUGCAGCAGAGAUGAGCCGUCAUUGCUUAGCCUGUCUUAGACUCGGCAACAUGAAUGAACCCAGCAAAAAGCAAAAGAACCAAACCCCCAAAAUAACAAUCUCAGAAUCAUGAGCUAAUUUUUUCUUGUCUUAAAUCGCUAAAUUUUGGGGUGUUUUGUCACGUGGCAAAAACUCACAUACGGAUGACAGCUUUUUUUCCCUAAAGUAUUGCAAACACUGCCCAGUUUGCACAUUGUCUUUAUAGUGGUGGCUAAACAAUCUGUUGUUUUUUUUUUUAAUUUGCAUAUCUACUUUAUUUUAAUUUUCCUUUUUAGUCUUGCUUUACUUAUCCUUUCUGUUCUUUCCCCAUGUGCAACAUAGUUUUAAAUAGUAGCCAUUGCAUUGUACAUAUGAUUUUUAAUUUGGCUAUAUAUCACACACAAUUUCCUAUGUUUCUACAUGGCACUUAUAAUUACAAAUUUUAAUUACAAAUCCUUUAUGUCCUUACGCUUACCAUAAUUUAUAAAUCCUUUCUUCUUGGACAUAUAUUUCAUAUUUGUUGCUAUUAUAGAUAACACUAUAAUGAACAGUAUUUUGCUAUUUUGAAUUGUUUCCUUAUGAUAAAUUAUCAUGAAUGAAAUUACUGAAUCAAAGCAUAUAAAAAUCUUUAUAGUUUUUGCUAUGUUUUGACAUAUAGUUUUUUAAAUAAUGUAAUUUGUAAUGUCAUCAGCAGUAAGUACUACACUCUCCAUAGUUACAGAUUUUUAUUUUUUUACAGAUUAAGUGUGCCGUUCUCUCAAAGUAAUUCUUAGAAAUGCUUUAAAAAUCAAAAAUCAAUUAAAAGUAAAUCAAAAGGCAAUAAUAGAAGGUGUUAAACUGCAGUCUCCUAUCUGUCCCUUCCCCCCACGGUUCUCUGCUCCCCAAGUGGAUGCCAUCAAGUGUCUUCUCUGGUGGUUAGCCCAGUUCCAAAAUAACUUAUUUUGAAUAUCUUUCUAAGUUUUAGAUAUUGUGUACUGCGUAUUCCUUCUAUAAAAACUGAAGAUUUAGCUCUUUUAAAUCCCUCUCAUACUCGGAUGUCCCUCUCACAGAUACAUGUCUACUCUUCCCAUCAAACAAACCCAGUUUUCAACAUGUAAAUUGAAAUCUGUAUUCAGAGUUUUUAACUAUCAUAGUUAUGCAUAUACUGUUUAAUUCAGAACCAAGUUGAGACUUUCUGCUAAAUUUCCUUUCUUGUACAACUUUUUGGCUGGUGUUUUGUGGAGUUAAUUGCCCUUUAUUAUUUUGUUAAUUUAGUUUUCUUACAGUCUUGGCCUAAAUUAUUCCCAUAAUCUUCACUUCUCAGUCCUAGUUUCCACGAAGUCAAACUUGUCAAAUAAGCUAUUUAUUGUCAUAGGAAUUUUGGAAAAUUCCUGCCAGAACUUCAAGUCUUACCUCAUCUGCUUCAGUUUGCCUGGUUUUUCUCUAAGGUUGGACAUAUGUCCAUCAUCCUCACCCUUCUUGUUGUUUUCCAGAAAAUUCUCUUCACCUCUCUCCUGUGCUGGAUCCAUUACUUCAUGGACUUCAUUUACAAAGGACAUUUGUUGUUGGUUUUGCACGCCUAGCAUCUGAAGCAUUUUCUGUGAUAAAGGAAAUCCUCAUUCUUAUGGACAAUGCAAGAAAGUAAUGAUUGACUUACUGUACUGUAGCUGAAAAGGCUAGAUUCUCAUUUUCACUGACCUUCUUUUAUCCAGGACACAAAUGUGUGAGCUAGGAUGGCUCAGUCAGAUGUGUUCAUGGCAGGGGCGCCUGGGUGGCUCAGUCGGUUGAGCAUCCGACUUCAGCUCAGGUCAUGAUCUCACGGUUCGUGGGUUUAAACCGUACAUUGGGCUCCAUGCUGGUGGUGCAUAGCCUGCUUGGGAUUCUUGCUCUCUCCUCUCUCUCUGCCCCUUCCCUUGCUCACUCUUCCUCUCUCUCUCAAAAUAAAUAAACUUAAAAAAAAAUAUGUUCAUGACAGUAACUUGGCUCAUGAUGUGUCAAAGAGGGGACAGGGAGUGCUCUUUCUGAAGGCAGCAGAGGUAACAGUGUUUGUAAUGUGGGAUUCUUGGUGUGGGUAGGGACAGCUCAAGGUCCCCAGCCAAUACCUGCAGGGACCCCUGAUACCUAAUUGCCUUCUUCCAUCCCUGUGAUGUUCCUGCUGCUUUCUUAGUACCACUACGGAAGCCAUGCUUGACCAUGUGGAACCCUACCAGAAACUCCAGUCUGUAAAUAAGUGUUUCUCCCUAAUAGUUUUUCUCACGUUUGUUUCGCACCAAGUGUCUGGAGCCACGUAUAUCUACAUUGCAAUUCCCGAGGUGUCUGCAGGUAAGAUCUCUGGUGGCUUUGUGUGCAAAAUAAAAAGGACUCAUCCAUUUUCAAAUUUUUAAUUAAUUAACUUUUUUGCAUCCAAAAUCUUUUAAAUAACAAAGGGGUAGUUUUUGUAACCACGGUGAGCCCAUUGAACACUGGUGAACUCAAACUUCUGGCCCUUGGAGUGCACGUAGGGUGUAGCGUGGCUGCACAGGGUUCCUCUGGCCUUGUAAGAAUGCCUGUAUACUUCUCGCCUUUCAGACAAGCAGAGAGCAGGACAGUGCCAUAGCGGUUGGGGGAGUCCAGGGCCAGCUGGUUGAAGGUGAGGAUCUUGCCCCCACCUUGAGGAUGAAGUUUCCGCACAUAGCUGCUUACGGUGCAGCACGCACUCUUUUCAGUUUGGGUACCUCCUGUACACUGAGGUCACUCAUUACAGUUCCUGCACCCACAGCUUUUUUGUCUUCCUGGUCAGGAUGCUUCAUCCUCCAGAUCAUCCAGGAAAGGGACAGAAGCAGCUGGUUUGGUGCAACUCAUGAACCACCUCUUCAGCACAACUUGGUUGAAGGUGGAGUUGGUUUGUUUGGGAAGAAAACUGCACAGCCUGACCAACAGCCGUGGGUCGGUGUCCUGGCUCUCGGGCUCUUAACCUUAACCUUUUGGCCCUUGUUGUGGAGGAUGCCAACUCUGAUGAUGGCGCCUC